Molecule: ribosomal RNA, 403 nt
Filed under: bacterium
Lineage: Bacteria
Description: partial 16S ribosomal RNA
Rfam family: Bacterial small subunit ribosomal RNA
Source: RNAcentral
UGGGGAAUAUUGCACAAUGGGGGAAACCCUGAUGCAGCGACGCCGCGUGAACGAAGAAGGUAUUCGUAUCGUAAAGUUCUGUCCUAUGGGAAGAUAAUGACAGUACCAUAGAAGAAAGCUCCGGCUAAAUACGUGCCAGCAGCCGCGGUAAUACGUAUGGAGCGAGCGUUGUCCGGAAUUAUUGGGCUGAAAGGGUACGCAGGCGGUUUAAUAAGUCGAAUGUUAAAGAUCGGGGCUCAACCCCGCAAAGCAUUGGAAACUGAUAAACUUGAGUAGUGGAGAGGAAAGUGGAAUUCCUAGUGUAGUGGUGAAAUACGUAGAUAUUAGGAGGAAUACCAGUAGCGAAGGCGACUUUCUGGACACAAACUGACGCUGAGGUACGAAAGCGUGGGGAGCAAACAGG